Molecule: ribosomal RNA, 909 nt
Filed under: uncultured bacterium
Lineage: Bacteria
Description: bacterial SSU rRNA
Rfam family: Bacterial small subunit ribosomal RNA
Source: RNAcentral
ACGCUAGCUAUAGGCUUAACACAUGCAAGUCGAGGGGAAACGGCGUUAUGUGCUUGCACAUUUUGGACGUCGACCGGCGCACGGGUGAGUAUCGCGUAUCCAACCUGCCCUUUACUUGGGGAUACCCCGUUGAAAGACGGCCUAAUACCCGAUGUAAUUCAUUGAUGGCAUCAGAUAUGAAUAAAAGAUUUAUCGGUAAAGGAUGGGGAUGCGUCUGAUUAGCUUGUUGGUGAGGUAACGGCUCACCAAGGCAACGAUCAGUAGGGGUUCUGAGAGGAAGGUCCCCCACAUUGGAACUGAGACACGGUCCAAACUCCUACGGGAGGCAGCAGUGAGGAAUAUUGGUCAAUGGGCGCAAGCCUGAACCAGCCAAGUAGCGUGCAGGAAGACGGCCCUAUGGGUUGUAAACUGCUUUUAUACGAGAAUAAUUUGAUGCACGUGUGCGUUAUUGCAUGUAUCGUAUGAAUAAGGACCGGCUAAUUCCGUGCCAGCAGCCGCGGUAAUACGGAAGGUCCAGGCGUUAUCCGGAUUUAUUGGGUUUAAAGGGAGUGUAGGCGGUUUGUUAAGCGUGUUGUGAAAUUUAGGUGCUCAACAUUUAACUUGCAGCGCGAACUGUCAGACUUGAGUACACGCAACGUAUGCGGAAUUCAUGGUGUAGCGGUGAAAUGCUUAGAUAUCAUGAAGAACUCCGAUUGCGAAGGCAGCAUACGGGAGUGUAACUGACGCUUAAGCUCGAAGGUGCGGGUAUCGAACAGGAUUAGAUACCCUGGUAGUCCGCACAGUAAACGAUGGAUGCCCGCUGUUAGCGCCUGGCGUUAGCGGCUAAGCGAAAGCAUUAAGCAUCCCACCUGGGGAGUACGCCGGCAACGGUGAAACUCAAAGGAAUUGACGGGGGCCCGCACAAGCGGA